Molecule: ribosomal RNA, 429 nt
Filed under: Gemmatimonadota bacterium
Lineage: Bacteria; Pseudomonadati; Gemmatimonadota
Description: Gemmatimonadetes bacterium partial 16S ribosomal RNA
Rfam family: Bacterial small subunit ribosomal RNA
Source: RNAcentral
UAGGGAAUCUUCGGCAAUGGACGAAAGUCUGACCGAGCAACGCCGCGUGAGUGAAGAAGGCCUUCGGAUCGUAAAACUCUGUUGUUAGAGAAGAACAAGGACGUUAGUAACUGAACGUCCCCUGACGGUAUCUAACCAGAAAGCCACGUCUAACUACGUGCCAGCAGCCGCGGUAAUACGUAGGUGGCAAGCGUUGUCCGGAUUUAUUGGGCGUAAAGCGAGCGCAGGCGGUUUCUUAAGUCUGAUGUGAAAGCCCCCGGCUCAACCGGGGAGGGUCAUUGGAAACUGGGAGACUUGAGGGCAGAAGAGGAGAGUGGAAUUCCAUGUGUAGCGGUGAAAUGCGUAGAUAUAUGGAGGAACACCAGUGGCGAAGGCGGCUCUCUGGUCUGUAACUGACGCUGAGGCGCGAAAGCGUGGGGAGCAAACAGG